UACGUAGGUGGCAAGCGUUGUCCGGAUUUACUGGGCGUAAAGAGCGCGCAGGCGGUCGUUCAAGUCGCGUGUGAAAGCCCCCGGCUCAACUGGGGAGGGUCACGCGAUACUGAUCGACUCGAAGGCAGGAGAGGGUAGUGGAAUUCCCGGUGUAGUGGUGAAAUGCGUAGAUAUCGGGAGGAACACCAGUGGCGAAGGCGGCAUCCUGGACCACGACUGACACUGAAAAGCGAAAGCCAGGGGAGCAAACGGG
Molecule: ribosomal RNA, 253 nt
Filed under: uncultured bacterium
Lineage: Bacteria
Description: partial 16S ribosomal RNA
Rfam family: Bacterial small subunit ribosomal RNA
Source: RNAcentral